CCCCUAGAUGUUCUGGGCCGCACGCGCGCUACACUGAACAGUUCAACAAGUCUUAACCUUGGCCGAUAGGUCUGGGUAAUCUUUGAGCGCUGUUCGUGAUUGGGAUAGACCUUUGCAAUUAUGGGUCUUCAACGAGGAAUUCCUAGUAAACGCAAGUCAUCAGCUUGCAUUGAUUACGUCCCUGCCCUUUGUACACACCGCCCGUCGCACCUACCGAUUGAAUGGUCCGGUGAAAUCUCGGGACGGCGGCUUGGUCGCUUGCGUCCGACUGCUGAAACUUGAUUAAACCAUAUCAUUUAGAGGAAGGUGAAGUCGUANCA
RNAcentral lists this ribosomal RNA (320 nucleotides) under uncultured eukaryote. RNAcentral's name for it is "partial 18S ribosomal RNA". It matches the Rfam family "Eukaryotic small subunit ribosomal RNA", at positions 1470 to 1796 of the family's 1831-position model. The record is from RNAcentral.